This 341-nucleotide RNase P RNA is filed under the name bovine gut metagenome. Its description in RNAcentral is "Bacterial RNase P class A". It matches the Rfam family "Bacterial RNase P class A". From Rfam's summary of the family: Ribonuclease P (RNase P) is a ubiquitous endoribonuclease, found in archaea, bacteria and eukarya as well as chloroplasts and mitochondria. Its best characterised activity is the generation of mature 5'-ends of tRNAs by cleaving the 5'-leader elements of precursor-tRNAs. Cellular RNase Ps are ribonucleoproteins. The record is from RNAcentral.
GCCGGAUAAUCGCGCCCAAAAGGGUGAGGAAAGUCCGUGCAUCCAAGGACAGCUCGCCGGAGAAACUCCGGACGGCGUGAGCCGGUGGAUAGGACCACAGAAAGACACUGCCGAUGGAUUUUAAUCACAGGCAAAGGUGCAAUGGCGAGGUAAGAGCUCACCGUCGAUAUCGAGAGGUAUCGGUUCAGGCAACCCCCGAGUGGAUGCAAGAUUGAAUCAAGCGUUAGAGGUGUCCGCCGAGCUUGAAAAAUCGCUCGAGAUUAGGAGUAAUCCUAAUACCAGACAGAUGAUUAUCAAGGGGUAUAUUUACCCUAAACAGAACACGGCUUAUGAGCUGCUUU